This 483-nucleotide ribosomal RNA is filed under the name uncultured bacterium. RNAcentral's name for it is "partial 16S ribosomal RNA". It matches the Rfam family "Bacterial small subunit ribosomal RNA", at positions 30 to 506 of the family's 1533-position model. The record is from RNAcentral.
AUUGAACGCUGGCGGCAGGCCUAACACAUGCAAGUCGAGCGGAUGAAGGGAGCUUGCUCCUGGAUUCAGCGGCGGACGGGUGAGUAAUGCCUAGGAAUCUGCCUGGUAGUGGGGGAUAACGUCCGGAAACGGGCGCUAAUACCGCAUACGUCCUGAGGGAGAAAGUGGGGGAUCUUCGGACCCCACGCUAUCAGAUGAGCCUAGGUCGGAUUAGCUAGUUGGUGGGGUAAAGGCCUACCAAGGCGACGAUCCGUAACUGGUCUGAGAGGAUGAUCAGUCACACUGGAACUGAGACACGGUCCAGACUCCUACGGGAGGCAGCAGUGGGGAAUAUUGGACAAUGGGCGAAAGCCUGAUCCAGCCAUGCCGCGUGUGUGAAGAAGGUCUUCGGAUUGUAAAGCACUUUAAGUUGGGAGGAAGGGCAGUAAGUUAAGACCUUGCUGUUUUGACGUUACCAACAGAAUAAGCACCGGCUAACUUCGU